Molecule: ribosomal RNA, 657 nt
Filed under: Flavobacterium sp. S171.08.BKT.W.Gill.N
Lineage: Bacteria; Pseudomonadati; Bacteroidota; Flavobacteriia; Flavobacteriales; Flavobacteriaceae
Description: bacterial SSU rRNA
Rfam family: Bacterial small subunit ribosomal RNA
Source: RNAcentral
AGUCGAGGGGUAUAGUUCUUCGGAACUAGAGACCGGCGCACGGGUGCGUAACGCGUAUGCAAUCUACCUUUUACAGAGGGAUAGCCCAGAGAAAUUUGGAUUAAUACCUCAUAGCAUUGCAGAAUGGCAUCAUUCAGCAAUUAAAGUCACAACGGUAAAAGAUGAGCAUGCGUCCCAUUAGCUAGUUGGUAAGGUAACGGCUUACCAAGGCUACGAUGGGUAGGGGUCCUGAGAGGGAGAUCCCCCACACUGGUACUGAGACACGGACCAGACUCCUACGGGAGGCAGCAGUGAGGAAUAUUGGACAAUGGGCGCAAGCCUGAUCCAGCCAUGCCGCGUGCAGGAUGACGGUCCUAUGGAUUGUAAACUGCUUUUGUACAGGAAGAAACACUGGUUCGUGAACCAGCUUGACGGUACUGUAAGAAUAAGGAUCGGCUAACUCCGUGCCAGCAGCCGCGGUAAUACGGAGGAUCCAAGCGUUAUCCGGAAUCAUUGGGUUUAAAGGGUCCGUAGGCGGUUUAAUAAGUCAGUGGUGAAAGCCCAUCGCUCAACGGUGGAACGGCCAUUGAUACUGUUAAACUUGAAUUAUUAGGAAGUAACUAGAAUAUGUAGUGUAGCGGUGAAAUGCUUAGAGAUUACAUGGAAUACCAAUUGCGA